This is a long non-coding RNA of Cyprinus carpio carpio, 332 nucleotides long. The record is from Ensembl. Lineage: Eukaryota; Metazoa; Chordata; Actinopteri; Cypriniformes; Cyprinidae.
UUUCGUUUUCUCAGUACUGAAACAUUUCACUUGGCUCUCUUUGUUAUCAGAAAACAUUCCCUUCUCUGAUCAAGAAUGAAUCAAGGAUUCAGUUUUGGCAAACCUGUAGCAGUCAAUGUUACUCCAUCGCCAGUGUCCGGCGCACAAGUCAGUAUAUUUCCAGCCACCUCCUCAGACUCCAAUUCUCCUAGCACACCUGAAAACAUAACAACUCCACUUCCUACUCUUGGAGUUCCUAGUGUCAAGUUUCAAGUGUCAUCCUUGUUGGAAAAUGAGUGGAGAAACAUGGAGUGGAGUGAAGAGUAAGUAGACCCACCACUUUAACCCUUUCA